GGCUGUGUUAUUUGAGCGGCUAUGCAAGCAGUUAUCAUGGCUGCUUGCAUAGCCGCUCAAAUAACACAGCC
Molecule: microRNA precursor, 71 nt
Filed under: Piloderma croceum F 1598
Lineage: Eukaryota; Fungi; Basidiomycota; Agaricomycetes; Atheliales; Atheliaceae
Description: mir-153 microRNA precursor family
Rfam family: mir-153 microRNA precursor family
Source: Rfam by way of RNAcentral